RNAcentral lists this ribosomal RNA (867 nucleotides) under Neofusicoccum mangiferae. RNAcentral's name for it is "partial large subunit ribosomal RNA". It matches the Rfam family "Eukaryotic large subunit ribosomal RNA", at positions 82 to 967 of the family's 3401-position model. The record is from RNAcentral. Lineage: Eukaryota; Fungi; Ascomycota; Dothideomycetes; Botryosphaeriales; Botryosphaeriaceae.
AGUAACGGCGAGUGAAGCGGCAAUAGCUCAAAUUUGAAAGCUGGCCCCUUCGGGGUCCGCGUUGUAAUUUGUAGAGGAUGAUUCGGCGAGGGCUCCCGUCUAAGUCCCUUGGAACAGGGCGUCAUAGAGGGUGAGAAUCCCGUAUGUGAUGGGCUGCCUUAGCCAUGUGAAUCUCCUUCGACGAGUCGAGUUGUUUGGGAAUGCAGCUCUAAAUGGGAGGUAAAUUUCUUCUAAAGCUAAAUACCGGCCAGAGACCGAUAGCGCACAAGUAGAGUGAUCGAAAGAUGAAAAGCACUUUGGAAAGAGAGUUAAAAAGUACGUGAAAUUGUUGAAAGGGAAGCGCUUGCAGCCAGACUUGUCCGCAGUUGCUCAGCUUGUCUCCUGACAGGCGUACUCUUCUGCGGCCAGGCCAGCAUCAGUUCGGGCGGUCGGAUAAAGGCCCGGGGAAUGUAGCUCCUCUCGGGGAGUGUUAUAGCCCCGGGUGCAAUGCGGCCAGCCUGGACUGAGGAUCUCGCUUCGGCUAGGAUGCUGGCGUAAUGGCUGUAAGCGGCCCGUCUUGAAACACGGACCAAGGAGUCUAACAUCUAUGCGAGUGUUUGGGUGUCAAACCCAUGCGCGUAAUGAAAGUGAACGGAGGUGGGAACCCUCACGGGUGCACCAUCGACCGAUCCUGAUGUCUUCGGAUGGAUUUGAGUAAGAGCAUAGCUGUUGGGACCCGAAAGAUGGUGAACUAUGCCUGAAUAGGGUGAAGCCAGAGGAAACUCUGGUGGAGGCUCGCAGCGGUUCUGACGUGCAAAUCGAUCGUCAAAUUUGGGUAUAGGGGCGAAAGACUAAUCGAACCAUCUAGUAGCUGGUUCCUGCCGAGCU